CGCCUUCAUCUAGCUCAACUCUUGGAUCACAUCAUCCCCUCCUUCUUCAAAACGAUUCGUUCUCGAAUCUGCACCUGUAUCGAAAAGGAAAAGAUCAGCCGAUACAUUAUACUCACCUGGUAAGUCCACUUUGUAGGCAUUAUCGUUGUUCUUCUCGGUGAUUUGGAAAGGACCAUCUCUCCGCGGUUGCAAUUUAGACUUUUGCUGCUUCGAAAAACGUUCCUUCUUG
This 229-nucleotide long non-coding RNA is filed under the name Olea europaea (common olive). RNAcentral's name for it is "long non-coding RNA (OEUR_LNC002171)". Lineage: Eukaryota; Viridiplantae; Streptophyta; Magnoliopsida; Lamiales; Oleaceae. The record is from RNAcentral.